GUCAUUUAGCAACUUUUAGCAACAAAUCGAUCUUCCUUUAGCAACUUCCCCAUGAAAAUGAGUUGGCAACACUGAGAGUGCACCCAUCAAUGAGCUUCAUCCGGCAGCAGCGCAGCACAGGACUUACUCGGAAAGAAUGCCUCCAAAGAAGUGUGUUUUUGGUUAAACGAGGCCCAGUUCGACGCUGGAUUUGCACAUCGUUUGAUACUGAAAGAUGGAGCUGUACCAGCUAUAAAAUGUCCCGGUCAUAAUUCAGAACUGCAGACGGUAAGUGAAAUUGCAUCAAAUGUGUGUUUUGUUGGCAUUCGGCGCCCAAGUGCUCGUCAAUCUUUAGCUCCACCCACGCCAUGCCACCAGGAGCUCGGAUUUUUCUGGAGUGAAUCGUAAAGCUGUAUAUUUCUUUUAUAAAUAUAACGAAACUAAAGACUUUUUGGAGAUAUGAAGGAUGCAGUACUACUCUAUAGGUACUCAAGAUUAACAUGCAACUGGGUAAAACUGUGUGUGUUAUGUCCCCUUUAACAUUAGUUAAUUCAUUAGUUAACAAACUGCCAAUGAAAAAUUCAUAGUUUAUUUCAACAUUUAAUAACACGCUGUUAAAAUCAAAAGUUAUAACUGUACUAUUUAAUGAACCUGAGCUUUUUUUUUUUUUUUUUUUUUAAAGGUGCAGUCUGUAAGUUUAGCCUCUUUGUCGCCAUCUCUGUUUAAAAUCUGAAAUUGCAGUUAUUUGCAGAAUUAUCAUCUGUAAGUGAUAAUUAUUUAUUUGACAUCUUUAUUUGACCCUCUAACUUUUUCCCUCACUAUUCUAAUUCUAUUAAAAAAAAAAAAAAAAAAAAAAAAAAAANUUGGAUAAAAGCAUCUGCUAAAUGACUAAAUGUAAAUGUAAUGUAAAUGUAAGUGGGUUUAUUUUAGAUUUAUUUGACAGGGACAGUCCACAACAAUAAUACUCAAUGAUUACAUCUGGCUCCGCACAGUAAAUUUUAGAUUUAAUGAAAAACAUACAUACAGUUUUCAAAACAUUUAGUUGUAGGCAAUUAUGUUUUAGCAUUCAGCUGCAUGUACAAAAACUACUGUAUCAUCAGCAUACAUCUGGAUGUUGGAAUUGAGACAUACAUUUGGCAAAUCAUUUAUGUGCAGAGUAAAUAAAAGUGGGCCCAAAAUCGAACCUUGUGGGAGA
Long non-coding RNA from Cyprinus carpio (common carp), 1174 nucleotides. Lineage: Eukaryota; Metazoa; Chordata; Actinopteri; Cypriniformes; Cyprinidae. The record is from Ensembl.